RNAcentral lists this ribosomal RNA (460 nucleotides) under uncultured bacterium. RNAcentral's name for it is "partial 16S ribosomal RNA". It matches the Rfam family "Bacterial small subunit ribosomal RNA", at positions 338 to 795 of the family's 1533-position model. The record is from RNAcentral.
CCUACGGGAGGCAGCAGUGAGGAAUAUUGGUCAAUGGGCGCGAGCCUGAACCAGCCAAGUAGCGUGAAGGAUGACUGCCCUACGGGUUGUAAACUUCUUUUAUAAAGGAAUAAAGUGAGGCACGUGUGCCUUUUUGUAUGUACUUUAUGAAUAAGGAGCGGCGAACUCCGUGCCAGCAGCCGCGGUAAGACGGAGGAUCCGAGCGUGAUCCGGAGUUAUUGGGUUUAAAGGGAGCGUAGAUGGGUUGUUAAGUCAGUUGUGAAAGUUUGCGGCUCAACCGUAAAAUUGCAAUUGAUACUGGCAGCCGUGAGUACAGUUGGGGUAGGCGGAAUUCGUGGUGUAGCGGUGAAAUGCGUAGAGAUCACGAAGAACUCCGAUUGCGAAGGCAGCCUACUAAACUGCCACUGACAUUGAUGCUCGAAAGUGUGGGUAUCAAACAGGAUUAGAUACCCCUGUAGUC